AAAUACAUAUUUGAUUGAAGAAAGAAAACACAAAAAAAAUGGACCAGGUUUCCUCAAAGAAAAGCAAAAUGGGAAAAUAGGGGAAUAGUCUAUAUAAAAACCAACCCACCGCCCAUGGAGAACCAUCAUUCUUCUGAGCAAAAAUCUAUACAAGAUUAGCCCAAACCUCCAAUAUAGUAAAAUGGGUUCGACGAACUAUUUCUAAUCUUUCAUUUGCAAAGUAAAGCUAAAAUUAGAAUUGUCUACUAACAACCUUCCUAUAGUUUGCCCACUAUAUUAUUA
This 282-nucleotide long non-coding RNA is filed under the name Citrus maxima (pomelo). RNAcentral's name for it is "long non-coding RNA (CMAX_LNC003479)". Lineage: Eukaryota; Viridiplantae; Streptophyta; Magnoliopsida; Sapindales; Rutaceae. The record is from RNAcentral.